CUCUCUCCCCCCUCCAAAUCCAACAGCCGUGGGUUACUCUCGUUCUUCCCCCUCCAAAUCCAAGACCUAUGGAUGCAUAAUAGAGUAAAUAGCAAUUCCCAUCCACUCUAGUAACAGAAAAUGACAGCUUCUGUGAUUGUGGUGAAAAGUUUCCCCUAGUAAUGCUAAGUACAGCGAGGAAACCAGCAAGGAAACCAUAAAUUCUGUACACAUAUAGAUGCCAAAAACAAGCAGUGAAUUGCAUAAGAUAUUAGUGAAGAAUAAUUACCAGCCGUAAACUCAACUCCUCCGGUUGCUAGUGUACAAUAGAGCAAUAGGUUGUGUUUGGGGAUGUUAGAUGUCGAAAUAAUUGAGGCAAAAUUCUUUUAUGCAAUAGUUGGCUUGUGUUGACUUUUGAAAGGAAACUUAUUUUUGUGCUGUUAAUGUUACUUAUUUGUUAGUUUAUUUCUUAGGUUUUGUUGUUCGGGAUAUUAUGUAUUGGAUUUCAUUUUCUUUUGCCUCUGGUAUGGCCCCUAAUAGAACUUGACGUAAUUCUUUUUG
RNAcentral lists this long non-coding RNA (540 nucleotides) under Citrus maxima (pomelo). RNAcentral's name for it is "long non-coding RNA (CMAX_LNC004423)". Lineage: Eukaryota; Viridiplantae; Streptophyta; Magnoliopsida; Sapindales; Rutaceae. The record is from RNAcentral.